AAGUCGUAACACGGUCUCCGUAGGUGAACCUGCGGAGGGAUCAUUACUGAGUGAGGGCCCUCGGGCUCGACCUCCCACCCUUUGUGAACACAACUUGUUGCUUCGGGGGCGACCCUGCCGUUUACGCGGCGAGCGCCCCGCCGGACGUCCAUCAACAGUCCAUUGCCAUUGCGGUCGGAUUUUAAAGCAAAAUUUAAACAAAA
RNAcentral lists this unclassified non-coding RNA (203 nucleotides) under plant metagenome. RNAcentral's name for it is "partial contains small subunit ribosomal RNA and internal transcribed spacer 1". The stretch from base 1 to 46 matches the Rfam family "Eukaryotic small subunit ribosomal RNA", at positions 1786 to 1831 of the family's 1831-position model. The record is from RNAcentral.